Molecule: ribosomal RNA, 49 nt
Filed under: Datura metel (Hindu datura)
Lineage: Eukaryota; Viridiplantae; Streptophyta; Magnoliopsida; Solanales; Solanaceae
Description: partial 25S ribosomal RNA
Source: RNAcentral
CCGCGACCCCAGGUCAGGCGGGAUCACCCGCUGAGUUUAAGCAUAUCAA